RNAcentral lists this ribosomal RNA (321 nucleotides) under uncultured Pseudomonadota bacterium. Its description in RNAcentral is "bacterial SSU rRNA". It matches the Rfam family "Bacterial small subunit ribosomal RNA", at positions 30 to 351 of the family's 1533-position model. The record is from RNAcentral. Lineage: Bacteria; Pseudomonadati; Pseudomonadota.
AUUAAACGCUGGCGGCAUGCCUUACACAUGCAAGUCGAACGGCAGCACGGGGGCAACCCUGGUGGCGAGUGGCGGACGGGUGAGUAAUACAUCGGAACGUAUCCUGGAGUGGGGGAUAACGUAGCGAAAGUUACGCUAAUACCGCAUAUUCUGUGAGCAGGAAAGCAGGGGAUCGCAAGACCUUGCGCUCUGGGAGCGGCCGAUGUCGGAUUAGCUAGUUGGUGGGGUAAAGGCCUACCAAGGCGACGAUCCGUAGCGGGUCUGAGAGGAUGAUCCGCCACACUGGGACUGAGACACGGCCCAGACUCCUACGGGUGGCAG